Heterocephalus glaber (naked mole-rat) is the source of this 1043-nucleotide non-coding RNA. Lineage: Eukaryota; Metazoa; Chordata; Mammalia; Rodentia; Bathyergidae. The record is from RefSeq and is a predicted model, not a curated record.
UGGGAAGCAGGUGCCGGAACCACUGAGCUAAAUCCCUGGCCCUGGUCAACUCUUGAUUAUUUGGGAUCAGAUUAUCUGAGGAGAUUGAGCCCUAGAUGAUACCAUCCCACUCCUUCUUCCUACCUGUUUCACAAUUUACAAACCCAUGGAGUAAGCAGACAGAAGUGGAAUGAUAUUCAAUUUAAUAAGGAGUUGAGGAUCCCGUGAGUGGCACUGCCUCCGUGAUUGGGGACACAUACUCUGACUGCAGGAUAAGAGUGAGAAGGUGGCCCAUGGUGUUGGAAGCUACUAAAAGGAAAGCACAGACCAGGUAAUUUAUAAAGAACAGAAAUUUAUUUCUCACACUGUAAGAUCUGGGAAGCCUAAAGUCAAGGUACCAGCAUGUGAUCUGGGCCUUUUGUAUAUGUAUCUUUCCAUGAAAGAAGGUAGAAGAACAAGGACAUGAUGGUGGUCGUGAACUGUUGGAUAAUUUUCAUGCCAGUCUUUUGUAAAUUGGACAGUUGAGAGUACUUCAUCAGGUCUUCCAAUUUUUUUUAAUCUUUUGUUUGUUUUGUUUGGCUUUGUUUUUUGAGACAUAGUCUCAUUAUGUAGUUUAGGCUGCCCUUAAAUUCACUGAGAUACUCUUGCCUCCUCCUCUCAAUUACUGGGAUUACAGGUGUGCACCACCAUGCCUGGCCUCAUUUUUUUUUUAACUAGAUCAUAAAGCAAAAAGUCCUGGAAAAAAAUGUUUUAUUCUGCUAUAGUUAGAUAACGACUUUUUUUUUUCCAGUACCGGGGGUUGAACUCAGGAACUUGCCCUUGUGAGGCAGGGGUGGCAGAUAACAACUUUUUUGAUUAAGAUAUGACAGUAACUUCAAACUGGUUACAUUGAAAUUUCUGGACACUUUUGGCCAUUCCUUUUUUGUUGUUGUAUUAGCUAGAUUCUUAGAGAAUAUUCUAUUUUAUCACAUUUAUAAGGCAUACUAUUUUACCUCAAGGUUUUUGUUUUGGGUUUGGUUUGGUUUGGCUUUGUUUUUUUUUUUUUUUUGAGGUACUGGGGAUUG